AGGCAGCAAAAGGAAAAAAAGAAAAACCCUGAACAGAUAAGGAACGUUUCCACAAGCAGGAACAAGUCGUUCUGAAUUUCUCCCUUCUUUGGUUUGCUGCUUCUGACGUCUGCGUGGUGUCAGAUUGGAGAUAAUAACUGUAACUGCUUUAAAGUUGACCAGGAGGAUUUGGAUGUAAAACAGCAUGAACUUUGGAAAGGAAUCCCAGUUUAGUGCAUCAUUGUAUCAAAGAAAAUGAGUCUUUUCUUGUUCUCCAAAAGCUCCUGCACAGGUGUGCUGAACGGCUGCAAACCCAAGGAUAAACAGGAGAAAUGCUGAGUAAGCACAGACAACAGCUACUAUGUCUUUGCUAAACAUCUUCAAGGUCUCUUUGGAGGGAUAAAUGCUCAGCAGGCGCGGCGUUCCCAGGAGACAUGGGUCUGGACGCAGACAGCCUGCAGGUCCCAGCAUGCAGUGAGGCAGCAGCGGCCGUUGCACUCGCUGUUCCUUUUUCCUAUGCAUAUACUUCUUUGACAUGUAACUUUAAAGAGGCAUAAGGCAUGGGAAAAUGGGGCUGCAGAGGUUUUCCACAGAGCGGACCAAAGCGCCUGCAGACUCUGAGCACCGCUGUCCUGCUCACAUCACAGAGGAGAAAGUACAGAAUAAGACUCAAAGGUGAUUUAUCCUUUGUGGUGAUUCAUUAAUUUGAUAUUUUUAAUGUAAUGAAUCAGUUAAAUCUUCAGGCAUUGCAAAUACUGACAUAUAUGUUUUAUUAUUGUCAUAUUUGUUUUUUUCUCUGAUCUUUUCAUUAAUAAAAACAUGUUUUUGAUUAUAAAAAAA
Long non-coding RNA from Oryzias latipes (Japanese medaka), 819 nucleotides. RefSeq lists it as uncharacterized. Lineage: Eukaryota; Metazoa; Chordata; Actinopteri; Beloniformes; Adrianichthyidae. The record is from RefSeq and is a predicted model, not a curated record.